CAGUCGCCGCGGGAAUACGUAGGUGGCAAGCGUUAUCCGGAAUUAUUGGGCGUAAAGCGCGCGUAGGCGGUUUCUUAAGUCUGAUGUGAAAGCCCACGGCUCAACCGUGGAGGGUCAUUGGAAACUGGGAAACUUGAGUGCAGAAGAGGAAAGUGGAAUUCCAUGUGUAGCGGUGAAAUGCGCAGAGAUAUGGAGGAACACCAGUGGCGAAGGCGACUUUCUGGUCUGUAACUGACGCUGAUGUGCGAAAGCGUGGGGAUCAAACAGGAUUAGAUACCCGGGUAGUCCCUGUCUCUUAUAC
RNAcentral lists this ribosomal RNA (301 nucleotides) under uncultured bacterium. RNAcentral describes it as "partial 16S ribosomal RNA". It matches the Rfam family "Bacterial small subunit ribosomal RNA", at positions 509 to 807 of the family's 1533-position model. The record is from RNAcentral.